ACCGCCGGGUCGCCGCCGGCACGGUGCCGCGGAUGACGUCCGCGGCGGGCAGGAGCCGCCGGCCACUCCUGGCGUUCUUGGCGUUCCUGCGGCC
RNAcentral lists this transfer RNA (94 nucleotides) under Actinoplanes campanulatus. Its description in RNAcentral is "tRNA-Val". Lineage: Bacteria; Bacillati; Actinomycetota; Actinomycetes; Micromonosporales; Micromonosporaceae. The record is from RNAcentral.